UCCAUCUUAUUUUAUUUCAGGAGAUGCUGGCUACCCGUGCGGUCGGUGGCUCAUAACACCUAUUCACAGGCCACACUCACGGGCGGAGUGUGCUUUCAAUCAAGCACACGUGAGAACGCGGUCUGUGAUUGAGCGGACGUUUGGUGUCCUCAAAAGCCGGUUCCACUGCCUCGAUAAAUCAGGAGGCAGCCUAUUGUACAGCCCCACCAAAGUUGCCAACAUCAUCGGUGUGUGUGCUGUACUGCACAAUCUGGCGAACCGGCACGGCCUACCAGCUGAGGUGGCCGAUGACCUUGAGGACCCCGUCCAUCCACCGGAUCCUGUCCAACGUGCGGAUGCCCGAGGGAGUCAAGUCCGGGGACAAAUUGUUGCAAAUUACUUUGCCUGUAAGUACCUACAAUCUUUAAUCCCAUACACAAGAAAUACCAAACAACUUUUCCCAAAACCAAAGUUUUAUUGUGAGGGAACAGUUCCCAAAUAAAUGUUUUAAGCAGGUUAUUACACCACCCGCAACACAAAAAGAAA
Molecule: long non-coding RNA, 525 nt
Organism: Xenopus tropicalis (tropical clawed frog)
Lineage: Eukaryota; Metazoa; Chordata; Amphibia; Anura; Pipidae
Exons: 2
Source: RefSeq, a predicted model, not a curated record